This 536-nucleotide ribosomal RNA is filed under the name uncultured bacterium. Its description in RNAcentral is "bacterial SSU rRNA". It matches the Rfam family "Bacterial small subunit ribosomal RNA", at positions 767 to 1306 of the family's 1533-position model. The record is from RNAcentral.
AGCUAAUAGAUACCCGGGUAGUCCACGCCCUAAACGAUGUCUACUAGUUGUUGGUGGAGUAAAAUCCAUGAGUAAACGCAGCUAAACGCGUGAAGUAGACCGCCUGGGGAGUACGGUCGCAAGAUUAGAACUCAAAGGAAUUGACGGGGGCCCGCACAAGCGGUGGAUUAUGUGGAUUAAUUCGAUGCAACGCGAAAACCUUACCUGGCCUUGACAUGCCACUAACGAAGCAGAGAUGCAUUAGGUGCCCGUAAGGGAAAGUGGACACAGGUGCUGCAUGGCUGUCGUCAGCUCGUGUCGUGAGAUGUUGGGUUAAGUCCCGCAACGAGCGCAACCCUUGCCAUUAAUUGCCAUCAUUUAGUUGGGCACUUUAAUGGGACUGCCGGUGACAAACCGGAGGAAGGUGGGGAUGACGUCAAGUCCUCAUGGCCCUUAUGGCCAGGGCUUCACACGUAAUACAAUGGUCGGUACAGAGAGUUGCCAACCCGCGAGGGGAGCUAAUCUCAGAAAGCCGAUCGUAGUCCGGAUUGUUCUCU